UAAAUUGAGAGUUUGAUCCUGGCUCAGGACGAACGCUGGCGGCGUGCCUAAUACAUGCAAGUCGAACGAAGCUUUCUUUCACCGAAUGCUUGCAUUCACCGAAAGAAGCUUAGUGGCGAACGGGUGAGUAACACGUAGGCAACCUGCCCAAAAGAGGGGGAUAACACUUGGAAACAGGUGCUAAUACCGCAUAACCAUGAACACCGCAUGAUGUUCAUGUAAAAGACGGCUUUUGCUGUCGCUUUUGGAUGGGCCUGCGGCGUAUUAACUUGUUGGUGGGGUAACGGCCUACCAAGGUGAUGAUACGUAGCCGAACUGAGAGGUUGAUCGGCCACAUUGGGACUGAGACACGGCCCAAACUCCUACGGGAGGCAGCAGUAGGGAAUCUUCCACAAUGGACGAAAGUCUGAUGGAGCAACGCCGCGUGAAUGAAGAAGGCCUUCGGGUCGUAAAAUUCUGUUGUCAGAGAAGAACGUGCGUGAGAGUAACUGUUCACGUAUUGACGGUAUCUGACCAGAAAGCCACGGCUAACUACGUGCCAGCAGCCGCGGUAAUACGUAGGUGGCGAGCGUUGUCCGGAUUUAUUGGGCGUAAAGGGAACGCAGGCGGUCUUUUAAGUCUGAUGUGAAAGCCUUCGGCUUAACCGAAGUAGUGCAUUGGAAACUGGAAGACUUGAGUGCAGAAGAGGAGAGUGGAACUCCAUGUGUAGCGGUGAAAUGCGUAGAUAUAUGGAAGAACACCAGUGGCGAAAGCGGCUCUCUGGUCUGUAACUGACGCUGAGGUUCGAAAGCGUGGGUAGCAAACAGGAUUAGAUACCCUGGUAGUCCACGCCGUAAACGAUGAGUGCUAAGUGUUGGAGGGUUUCCGCCCUUCAGUGCUGCAGCUAACGCAUUAAGCACUCCGCCUGGGGAGUACGGUCGCAAGACUGAAACUCAAAGGAAUUGACGGGGGCCCGCACAAGCGGUGGAGCAUGUGGUUUAAUUCGAAGCAACGCGAAGAACCUUACCAGGUCUUGACAUCUUCUGACAAUUCCAGAGAUGGAACGUUCCCUUCGGGGACAGAAUGACAGGUGGUGCAUGGUUGUCGUCAGCUCGUGUCGUGAGAUGUUGGGUUAAGUCCCGCAACGAGCGCAACCCUUAUUGUCAGUUGCCAUCAUUAAGUUGGGCACUCUGGCGAGACUGCCGGUGACAAACCGGAGGAAGGUGGGGAUGACGUCAAAUCAUCAUGCCCCUUAUGACCUGGGCUACACACGUGCUACAAUGGACGGUACAACGAGUCGCUAACUCGCGAGGGCAAGCUAAUCUCUUAAAGCCGUUCUCAGUUCGGAUUGCAGGCUGCAACUCGCCUGCAUGAAGUCGGAAUCGCUAGUAAUCGCGAAUCAGCAUGUCGCGGUGAAUACGUUCCCGGGCCUUGUACACACCGCCCGUCACACCAUGAGAGUUUGUAACACCCAAAGUCGGUGGGGUAACCUUUUGGAGCCAGCCGCCUAAGGUGGGACAGAUGAUUGGGGUGAAGUCGUAACAAGGUAGCCGUAGGAGAACCUGCGGCUGGAUCACCUCCUUU
This 1563-nucleotide ribosomal RNA is filed under the name Ligilactobacillus ruminis. Its description in RNAcentral is "16S ribosomal RNA". It matches the Rfam family "Bacterial small subunit ribosomal RNA". The record is from RNAcentral. Lineage: Bacteria; Bacillati; Bacillota; Bacilli; Lactobacillales; Lactobacillaceae.